GACGAACGCUGGCGGCGUGCCUAAUACAUGCAAGUGGGACGCAAGGGAACACACUGUGCUUGCACACCGUGUUUUCUUGAGUCGCGAACGGGUGAGUAACGCGUAGGUAACCUGCCUAUUAGCGGGGGAUAACUAUUGGAAACGAUAGCUAAUACCGCAUAAUAUUAAUUAUUGCAUGAUAAUUGAUUGAAAGAUGCAAGCGCAUCACUAGUAGAUGGACCUGCGUUGUAUUAGCUAGUUGGUAAGGUAAGAGCUUACCAAGGCGACGAUACAUAGCCGACCUGAGAGGGUGAUCGGCCACACUGGGACUGAGACACGGCCCAGACCUCCUACGGGAGGCAGCAGUAGGGAAUCUUCGGCAAUGGACGAAAGUCUGACCGAGCAACGCCGCGUGAGUGAAGAAGGUUUUCGGAUCGUAAAGCUCUGUUGUAAGUCAAGAACGUGUGUGAGAGUGGAAAGU
RNAcentral lists this ribosomal RNA (460 nucleotides) under Streptococcus mutans. Its description in RNAcentral is "bacterial SSU rRNA". It matches the Rfam family "Bacterial small subunit ribosomal RNA", at positions 28 to 463 of the family's 1533-position model. The record is from RNAcentral. Lineage: Bacteria; Bacillati; Bacillota; Bacilli; Lactobacillales; Streptococcaceae.